UGCAUAUCAAUAAGCGGAGGAAAAGAAACUAACAAGGAUUCCCCUAGUAACGGCGAGCGAAGCGGGAAGAGCUCAAAUUUGAAAGCUGGCGUCUUCGGCGUCCGCGUUGUAAUCUCGAGACGUGUUUUCCGUGCGGCUCUAUGGACAAGUCCCUUGGAACAGGGCAUCGUAGAGGGUGAAAAUCCCGUACUUGCCAUGGAAGUACCGUGCUUUGUGAUACACGCUCCAAGAGUCGAGUAGUUUGGGAUUGCUGCUCAAAGUGGGUGGUAGACUCCAUCUAAAGCUAAAUAUCGGGGAGAGACCGAUAGCGAACAAGUACCGUGAGGGAAAGAUGAAAAGCACUUUGGAAAGAGAGUUAAAAGUACGUGAAAUUGUCGAAAGGGAAGCACUUGAAGUCAGCCAUGCUGCUUGAGACUCAGCCUGGCUUUUGCUUGGUGUAUUUCUCGGUAGCAAGCCAGCAUUGGUUUGUGUCGUCGGAGAAGCGUAUGGGGAAUGUGGCAUCCUCGGAUGUGUUAUAGCCCUGUGCAGGAUACGACGACGUAGACCAAGGAACGCAGUGUGCCCUCUGGGCGGGUCUUCGGACACCUUCACACUUAGGAUGCUGGCGUAAUGGCUUUAAGUGGCCCGUCUUGAAACACGGACCA
Molecule: ribosomal RNA, 644 nt
Filed under: Malassezia restricta
Lineage: Eukaryota; Fungi; Basidiomycota; Malasseziomycetes; Malasseziales; Malasseziaceae
Description: partial large subunit ribosomal RNA
Rfam family: Eukaryotic large subunit ribosomal RNA
Source: RNAcentral